UGGGACAGUACACCAUACAAAAGAUAACCGAAAACUAAAAUGGACGAUUGUAUAGAUGAAUCUGGUAUAGAUGGGAUUUGGUCGCGCUGUUGAAUCAGUAAACCAUGGACAGAUAAAGGUGUACUGUCUGAUAGCGAUUAUAGAUAUCGUUUUCAGCAAUAAGAUAAGUACUAACACCUGAUAAAGAAGACGAAGACACUUUACUUUCACUUCGAGCAAUACAGUUCUUAUCCAAUUGAGGGAAAUCGACAGUAAAUUGAGCAUAAGAAGAAGCAAGUAUAUACAACUUUUCAGCACGGGUGGAGGAUUGCUUGGCGCAGGUGCUAAAGGACCGACGAGCAUCGCACGAAACCAUUCCGACCUUUCAGCCAGUUGUUCCCUUUCUACGCAGUACCUCCACGUGUCUCCAGAUUUUUCUUCCUUCAGUUUUAUACAACUCAGACUGGAAAAGUUAACAAACUUAUGAUGUGGCGAAAUACCGGAAACAGAAUCCCCAGGUCACUGGAUUAAAACUUCACACACAGAGAUAUUCCACUCUAACGAUAAGUGUGUACUAUGUCAGACAAAUGGAUGUCCAGAAUAGUGACCAUAAAAAGUACUAGUAUAAUGCU
Long non-coding RNA from Frieseomelitta varia, 611 nucleotides. RefSeq lists it as uncharacterized. NCBI's taxonomy places the organism in Eukaryota, Metazoa, Arthropoda, Insecta, Hymenoptera, Apidae. The record is from RefSeq and is a predicted model, not a curated record. The transcript is spliced from 4 exons.